RNAcentral lists this unclassified non-coding RNA (512 nucleotides) under Hevea brasiliensis (rubber tree). The record is from RNAcentral. Lineage: Eukaryota; Viridiplantae; Streptophyta; Magnoliopsida; Malpighiales; Euphorbiaceae.
CACCCCUACCGAAAUUACAUAGACUUCAAAGCAUGUCACAACUUAUAUACCCUGAUUCAAGUAUCCAAGCUAUAAUAUAUCUAACUUUUUUUUUUUCAAAAAAGAAAAAGGAAAACUGGUGGCCUUGUGGCUGCUGUAUUAGACAUUUAUUAGUUACAAGUAACUGGACUUGCUCUAUCCGUAGAAACCAUCAUAACUGGGAAGUGGGAACUAAUGGACCUUUGCUGUGUCUUGGUACUACAUUAUCCCUAAAACGGACAUAGUUCUAUCCCCAUGGGCCAUCUUAAAUAAAAAUUGGUAGUUGCGAGGAGGUCAAGCAGACGCACGGAUCAUACCAUAAGAAGAAGAAGUGGACCAGGUAUCACAAAAUUGAAUGACUAAAUUCAGAACACGAAAUUUGACUGCAAUUCAAGGAAUUGUACUUUCUAUGGAAUCACCUACAUGGUUUUUCACCACACCACUAUUCUCCAAUCUCCACCCCGCCUUUUAAUAUCAGAAUGUAAAAAGUAUCG